AGCUGGCUUGAGUGUAGUGAUCAUUUACAACUAAUCGAUUAAACCAGUUAUAGAUUUCUUUGUUUCUCCACUUCUGCUUCACUUAAUCAGUCUUAA
Unclassified non-coding RNA from Ochotona princeps (American pika), 96 nucleotides. It matches the Rfam family "Y RNA". From Rfam's summary of the family: Y RNAs are components of the Ro ribonucleoprotein particle (Ro RNP), in association with Ro60 and La proteins. The Y RNAs and Ro60 and La proteins are well conserved, but the function of the Ro RNP is not known. In humans the RNA component can be one of four small RNAs -- hY1, hY3, hY4 and hY5. NCBI's taxonomy places the organism in Eukaryota, Metazoa, Chordata, Mammalia, Lagomorpha, Ochotonidae. The record is from Ensembl.